Molecule: transfer-messenger RNA, 364 nt
Filed under: Magnetococcales bacterium
Lineage: Bacteria; Pseudomonadati; Pseudomonadota; Magnetococcia; Magnetococcales
Also listed under: 1 other name
Rfam family: transfer-messenger RNA
About the family: Bacterial tmRNA, also known as 10Sa RNA or SsrA, is named for its dual tRNA and mRNA-like properties.
Source: RNAcentral
GGGGGUGAAACGGCUUCGACGGGGCAGUGAAAGGAUCGAGAGGCGACUCGGAAUGGAUCCGCCGUAAUGGACCACAGCGUUUAGACGCCAACGACGAGCAUUACGCUCCAGUUCUCGCUGCGGCUUAAACCGUAGCAGAACGGGGUCUGGAUCCGGACCCGGCAACAGAAGCCGCAAGGCAGGAUCAACCCGGAAAGGCGAAGGCCGGUUUAAAUCCAAGGUCGCCCAGUUCUCCGAGGAUACGGAGGUCCCAAGACCAGUCGGUCUGUAACGGUCAAGGGUCAUCAUGACCGGCAGAUGGUCGUAAUUCCUCUUGUCUGACUAAGUGUUUCGGACGCGGGUUCAACUCCCGCCACCUCCACCA